This 390-nucleotide ribosomal RNA is filed under the name uncultured bacterium. RNAcentral describes it as "bacterial SSU rRNA". It matches the Rfam family "Bacterial small subunit ribosomal RNA", at positions 28 to 414 of the family's 1533-position model. The record is from RNAcentral.
GAUGAACGCUGGCGGCGUGCUUAACACAUGCAAGUCGAACGGACGAUGAAGAGCUUGCUUUUCAGAGUUAGUGGCGGACGGGUGAGUAACGCGUGGGUAACCUGCCUCAUACAGGGGGAUAGCAGCUGGAAACGGCUGAUAAAACCGCAUAAGCGCACAGCAUCGCAUGAUGCAGUGUGAAAAACUCCGGUGGUAUGAGAUGGACCCGCGUCUGAUUAGAUAGUUGGUGAGGUAACGGCCCACCAAGUCAACGAUCAGUAGCCGGCCUGACGAGGGUGACCGGCCACAUUGGGACUGAGACACGGCCCAAACUCCUACGGGAGCAGCAGUGGGGGAAUAUUGCACAAUGGGCGAAAGCCUGAUGCAGCGACGCCGCGUGAGCGAAGAGUA